This 770-nucleotide long non-coding RNA is filed under the name Homo sapiens (human). RNAcentral describes it as "non-protein coding LINC01353:2". Lineage: Eukaryota; Metazoa; Chordata; Mammalia; Primates; Hominidae. The record is from RNAcentral.
GCCUGGCAAAGUCACAGGAAGUAUCUCCAUGGCACCGCAUCAGCCCUCACAGAGCAGGAAACCUUGAUUUCUACAGAGGCUGUUUCCUCCCAGCCUUGUGCAAGGCCCACUGCAGAGACAAAAUUAUGGUGGCCAAAGUGUGAAUGCCAAGGCCACACUGGCCUCCAUCCCUGGGAUUUGCUGGUAGAAGAAAGGGAAUCAGCGCUGACUGAGCUCCUACUAUGUGCCCUUCCUGGGCCUGGCACUGGAAUCACAGGAUGAAUGAAUAAGGCAUAUUUCCUGCCCUGAGGAGGCGUCUAUAGGGGAAGUCGGAAUUAAGGCACCUCCAGAAUUCUGAGGUCAAGGGAAUGUCAACAGAGCUGUGAACAAAAUGCCCAAAGCCAUGAAAAUCUACAGAGAGAGACUCGAAGGGGAGGAAUGGGGUAGGAGCUGGUGCCGAGGAUGAGAGGGGAGAAUUCACCUGGUGGAGAACUGAUAGGCCAGGCUGAGGUCGGGAUGGUGGAGGAGGUGGUGGAGGUGAUGAGGUACCAGAGCAACCUCGAAGAAAGCUGAGAGGCAGGAGACCGCCAAAGGCAAACUUGGAACACCUGGUGACUCCGACUAACUCUCCAUGUGGUGUCCUUGAGGACUUUUAUGAUACUGCUACCACUGCUAAUAGUAAUAAAAGCCACUAUUUAAUGUGUUUACUAUGCGCUGGGUGUGCAAAUAUUGUGGAAAGAGUGAACAUAUGUGCAGAAUGCUUAAUAAACGUGAUCUCCUUUUAUCUUCAA